Molecule: ribosomal RNA, 253 nt
Filed under: uncultured bacterium
Lineage: Bacteria
Description: partial 16S ribosomal RNA
Rfam family: Bacterial small subunit ribosomal RNA
Source: RNAcentral
UACGUAGGGUGCGAGCGUUAAUCGGAAUUACUGGGCGUAAAGCGUGCGCAGGCGGUGAUGUAAGACAGGGGUGAAAGCCCGGGGCUCAACUCCGGAAUUGCCUUUAAGACUGCAUCGCUAGAAUUGUGGAGAGGUAAGUGGAAUUCCGAGUGUAGAGGUGAAAUUCGUAGAUAUUCGGAAGAACACCAGUGGCGAAGGCGACUUACUGGACACAUAUUGACGCUGAGGUGCGAAAGCGUGGGGAGCAAACAGG